ACUGCUUUGAACAUCGACAUCUUGAACGCAUAUUGCGGCCAUGGGUUAGCCUGUGGCCACGCCUGUCCGAGGGUCGGCUUAUAAACUAUCACGACGCCCAAAAAGUCGUGGCUUGGGUUUUGCCAGCUGGCGUGAUCUCCUCUAUGAGUAAUCAUGUGAGGUGCCAGAUCUAUGGCGUUUCCCUAAUGUAUCCGGAUGCACCCUUGUCUUGGCAGAAAGCCGUGGUGAGGUGCAGUGGCGGAAUCGUGGUUUAAUAAUCGGGUUGGUACUCAGUUGUCAGUGUGUUCGGCGAUCCCCUAGUCGGCACACUCAUGAUUUCUGGGAUAAUUCCAUACCAGGCACGUUCCGUUACUGUUACUUUGUCAUUGGUUUGAUGCUGAACUUGGUCAUGUGUCUGAUGCUAUUUCAUAUAACGACGGCACCCUUCGUGGUCUGUCUUCCUGACCUCGGUUCAGACGUGAU
This 462-nucleotide unclassified non-coding RNA is filed under the name Fasciola gigantica. RNAcentral's name for it is "partial contains 5.8S rRNA, ITS2 and 28S rRNA". The stretch from base 1 to 76 matches the Rfam family "5.8S ribosomal RNA", at positions 79 to 154 of the family's 154-position model. The record is from RNAcentral. Lineage: Eukaryota; Metazoa; Platyhelminthes; Trematoda; Plagiorchiida; Fasciolidae.